Molecule: long non-coding RNA, 1986 nt
Organism: Triticum dicoccoides
Lineage: Eukaryota; Viridiplantae; Streptophyta; Magnoliopsida; Poales; Poaceae
Exons: 3
Source: RefSeq, a predicted model, not a curated record
AGAUCGACGGCCGACGAGGCGGCUCCGAUUGAUCGAUCGUGCGGUUCUCGGGUGACAACGUUAACGGGUCAUGCACUCUCAGAAGGAGGAAAAUAUAGUAACCGGUCAGGCACGCUGGCGGGUCUGGGACGGUACGUAGACCGAGGCUGAGCCACCGAGGUGAAGCGGUUGGAGUUGAUUAGAGUUCUCUUCUGUUAGCUUAGAGAAGAAGGGUCCGUCGUUACCUUUCUAGCUGGCUGCCUAUGGUUGCCGCCCGGUGGCUACGUGCUUCAGACCCGCGAUGGACGCCGCGUUGACAUACCAAAUCUGAAUAUUGUAAUCUGAUGCAGAUCUCGCUCGAUUAAUCUAGGGGGCCAUGCGUUUUGCAUCACAUGGUUAAUUGCUAAGAAAGUAAGGAAAUUGGUAGAGGAAAGGAAUGGGAAUGUUCCACUGGCCAGAUACCAAAACCACUAUAUCUAACCAAGUUUUUGCCUUCACGUUUCACCACUUGGGUGAAAGCAACUUGAGAAGCUGUGGGCUGCCGACACGUGUAUUAAUUUGGGUUACAGGGGUGUACAAAUUCAUUGUGACUUUAGAUUUUUGAUGUAAAUUUUGUUAACUGAUUCGCAUUUUUGUGUGUGCACUUGGGGUGGCUUCAGCGAUUUCCUAAUGAUCCGGGGCAGUCUGUUUGAUUUGGAUUUGUUUCUUGCAUGUGUGUGUUGACUGGCCUGGGCCGAUUUAUGGUGAUGCGGUUAUUGCAUAGACUCCCGUUUCUCCCUCUCAAUUUUCUCCGUGUGUCCCUCUCUGUCAAAGGCUCGCGAAGCAUCCCGUGGUUGCUCCACCUCCACCACCCACCGCUCAACAGCAUGUCGCCGCUCCACCGCCAUGGUCGUUUAUAAAAAGCUCUUGUCCCCUCCCCUUGAGUUCACUGCGCAAGUCUCCCAGAUUCUCGGCGACGCAAAACCCAUCGUUCCCGACUUCAUUGAUGGCCGAUGCAUCGCCGGAGCUCUCACCAGCUAGGCCGUCCCCUUCCUAGCGCCGGUCGGCGUAGCUCUCUCUUCCACUUCUGCGCCCACCUCCUCCCAGCCAGGCGCUCCAAUCAUGGCGCAGAGGCCGGAUCGAGCCCAUAUGGCGUGGCGGCGGCCGAAUUCACAACGGCGAUGACACCCAGCGGUCCCCGCUGGCCCAACCAAGUUUGUUUUCCUCUCCCCAUCCUCUCCCGCGAGCACCCUCGAUUUCGUCUCGCCGGUUCAGGCCACUCGCAGCAGCCGACCACCUGUAGCAACUAGCAACUCCAUGGCUGUCGCCGCCUUCUAGGUUGUGGCGGAGCCCCGCUCCAGCACACAACGCAUGCCGAUUCACUUCCGUUCCUUUACGGAACCAUCGCCAGCCUACCGGAAGGGAAGGCGACGGCCGGUGCCAAGGGCUGCAGAGUGGGCACCGUGCUGGCCCUUGCCAUCCCCUCCCACUGAAAGGGCUUUCCAUGUUUUAUCCCCAUUACCAUUGACGAGGACAGAUCAUAGGAUACCAGUACCACUGCUGGGAGCCUGGGACAUGUACUAUCAUGACAAUGUCAGGAGAACCUUCAUCUCUGGGCAUGAGAUGCAUAUGCAUUUCCCAAAAAUUGAUCCCGUGGACAAGAUCAGGUUAGUGAUUCAGGAGUUCCUGCCAAGACUGGCUUUUGGAAGUUAUGCUUGCUUCACCAGUUGGGUUUAACAAGGACAUAAUCAAUUCUCUGUUGGUUAGUAGUACGGAAGUUCCUGUCAAGAAUGACUUUUGGAAGUUAUGCUAGCUUCAUCAGUUGGGCUUUCUGUACAAAACUAAGAUAACUUAUUUUGGUACUUGCGAUUAGUAUUACACAGAUGGGUGAUGCACACAUACUUCACCCGAUGUAUCUGUUCAUGUAUGUUGUUAUUAGCUAAUUAGACAAAAUUCCUCUGUUUGUAUGGUGUUUGUGAUGAUGCUAUCAAUUCACUAAACACUAAAAUACCGGGUUGUGCUUUCAAA